This 304-nucleotide ribosomal RNA is filed under the name uncultured bacterium. RNAcentral describes it as "partial 16S ribosomal RNA". It matches the Rfam family "Bacterial small subunit ribosomal RNA", at positions 509 to 807 of the family's 1533-position model. The record is from RNAcentral.
CAGCAGUCGCCGCGGUAAUACGUAGGUGGCAAGCGUUGUCCGGAUUUAUUGGGCGUAAAGCGAGCGCAGGCGGUCAAUUAGGUCUGAUGUGAAAGCCCCCGGCUCAACCGGGGAGGGUCAUUGGAAACUGGGAAACUUGAGUGCAGAAGAGGAGAGUGGAAUUCCACGUGUAGCGGUGAAAUGCGUAGAGAUGUGGAGGAACACCAGUGGCGAAGGCGACUCUCUGGUCUGUAACUGACGCUGAGGAGCGAAAGCGUGGGGAGCGAACAGGAUUAGAUACCCCAGUAGUCCCUGUCUCUUAUAC